GCGAACGGGUGAGUAACACGUGAGUAACCUGCCCUCUUCUUGGGGAUAACGGUCUGAAAGGGCUGCUAAUACCGGAUGUUCACUGUCUGUCGCAUGGUGGGUGGUGGAAAGAUGCACUGUUGUGGUGUUUUGGUGGGGGAUGGGCUCGCGGCCUAUCAGCUUGUUGGUGGGGUGAUGGCUUACCAAGGCUUUGACGGGUAGCCGGCCUGAGAGGGUGACCGGUCACAUUGGGACUGAGAUACGGCCCAGACUCCUACGGGAGGCAGCAGUGGGGAAUUUUGCACAAUGGACGCAAGUCUGAUGCAGCGACGCCGCGUGAGGGAUGGAGGCCUUCGGGUUGUGAACCUCUUUCGCUCAUGGUCAAGCCGCAACUGUGGGUUGUGGUGAGGGUAGUGGGUAAAGAAGCGCCGGCUAACUACGUGCCAGCAGCCGCGGUAAUACGUAGGGCGCGAGCGUUGUCCGGAAUUAUUGGGCGUAAAGGGCUUGUAGGCGGUUGAUCGCGUCUGCCGUGAAAUCCUCUGGCUUAACUG
Molecule: ribosomal RNA, 530 nt
Filed under: Actinomyces sp.
Lineage: Bacteria; Bacillati; Actinomycetota; Actinomycetes; Actinomycetales; Actinomycetaceae
Description: bacterial SSU rRNA
Rfam family: Bacterial small subunit ribosomal RNA
Source: RNAcentral